This 531-nucleotide ribosomal RNA is filed under the name uncultured Streptococcus sp. RNAcentral describes it as "bacterial SSU rRNA". It matches the Rfam family "Bacterial small subunit ribosomal RNA", at positions 28 to 541 of the family's 1533-position model. Lineage: Bacteria; Bacillati; Bacillota; Bacilli; Lactobacillales; Streptococcaceae. The record is from RNAcentral.
GACGAACGCUGGCGGCGUGCCUAAUACAUGCAAGUAGAACGCUGAGGUUUGGUGUUUACACUAGACUGAUGAGUUGCGAACGGGUGAGUAACGCGUAGGUAACCUGCCUCAUAGCGGGGGAUAACUAUUGGAAACGAUAGCUAAUACCGCAUAAGAGUAAUUAACACAUGUUAGUUAUUUAAAAGGAGCAAUUGCUUCACUGUGAGAUGGACCUGCGUUGUAUUAGCUAGUUGGUGAGGUAAAGGCUCACCAAGGCGACGAUACAUAGCCGACCUGAGAGGGUGAUCGGCCACACUGGGACUGAGACACGGCCCAGACUCCUACGGGAGGCAGCAGUAGGGAAUCUUCGGCAAUGGACGGAAGUCUGACCGAGCAACGCCGCGUGAGUGAAGAAGGUUUUCGGAUCGUAAAGCUCUGUUGUUAGGGAAGAACGUUGGUAGGAGUGGAAAAUCUACCAAGUGACGGUAACUAACCAGAGAGGGACGGCUAACUACGUGCCAGCAGCCGCGGUAAUACGUAGGUCCCGAGCGU